CUCAGGCCAAAAGAACUGGUCAAUCUUCCAUACCCUUUUUGUAUGUAAACAGUUUGGCUGCAGAGAGCACAGCCAGCUGAGGUGCAAGUUUUUGGAGCACCUUAACCACAAGAUGCUCUAUAGAGAUAAUAAGAGCAAAAACAACUCCUUCCUCUUUGACCUGGGACACCUGGGGGCUCGGUAGUUUUCCAUUCCCCUCUACCCUUACCCCACCCUGCAAAAACUGCCUUAUAAAAAUAAAACCUUGCCUGCAAUAAACGGAGCCUUGCCACAUCUCAGACUGACUUUGUCUUUCUUUACGCGCUUGGUUCCCUUUUCCCUUUCCCCCCAUUGUUUCUAGGUGAUGCCUCCUCAAGACCCAUAAACUACCUGGCCCGAGGAACGGUGGUCGCCGGACAGCACCGAUUAAAAAGAGAAGGAUCUGGAUCGCCUUUUGGUAGAGACAUUCUGCAUCGCUCGUGCUGCAUCUUGAGUCUUUAAUAGAUUCUGCCUUAAAGCCUGCUGAAGUUCAUUAUCAUCGCUUGACAAUUAAUGAAGAAGCUGCCGCGAUUGAGCUAUCGCCCGUGAUUGCUGACCAACCACCAGAGAAUUCCCUUCCCUCUCCUCACCCCUUUUCCUAUUCCCCUCUUAGAUUUACAACACCCCCUAACCCAGGUCCAGGAUGGAAAUUUUGGAAAAAAUUUUUAAAUUUGGCCAUGUCAGAUCUAUCCCCAUGGUGCCUUAAAUUUGCAAACCCCGUGAGUAGAAGGCUGGAAAGUCAGUGACGGAAGAAUCGUCUAAGCCUAGACCCACCUAAGACAGGGCAGUCCCAAUGGGGAGGAUGACCCAAAGACGGGUAAAGGUCUAGCAUCACUCUUCUAACAGGCUCAGUCUCUCUCAUGUUUGGACUUUGACGAUAGCCACAAGGCUAUAGAACCCCUAACGUUGAGGCCUUGCACGCUGAGGGCUUGUUCCCAUUGCACCAGCUUAGGCUCGAAUCAAUUUUGGGUCUGCUCUGGCUCUAAAAAUCGUCAGUCCCGGGUUAUAAGUUCUAGCACCUAGAUCCUAAAUUUCGAUUGGCUCAUUUAUAUAAAAGAAAGGGGGAGAUGUGAGACCCUCAGGCCAAAAGAACUGGUCAAUCUUCCAUACCCUUUUUGUAUGUAAACAGUUUGCUGCAGAGAGCACAGCCAGCUGAGGUGCAAGUUUUUGGAGCACCUUAACCACAAGAUGCUCUAUAGAGAUAAUAAGAGCAAAAACAACUCCUUCCUCUUUGACCUGGGACACCUGGGGGCUCGGUAGUUUUCCAUUCCCCUCUACCCUUACCCCACCCUGCAAAAACUGCCUUAUAAAAAUAAAACCUUGCCUGCAAUAAACGGAGCCUUGCCACAUCUCA
This is a long non-coding RNA of Myodes glareolus (Bank vole), 1372 nucleotides long. RefSeq lists it as uncharacterized. The record is from RefSeq and is a predicted model, not a curated record. NCBI's taxonomy places the organism in Eukaryota, Metazoa, Chordata, Mammalia, Rodentia, Cricetidae.